This is a long non-coding RNA of Engraulis encrasicolus (European anchovy), 792 nucleotides long. RefSeq lists it as uncharacterized. The transcript is spliced from 3 exons. Lineage: Eukaryota; Metazoa; Chordata; Actinopteri; Clupeiformes; Engraulidae. The record is from RefSeq and is a predicted model, not a curated record.
UUAACUUAUCAAUUUUGACAAAUAUGUUUUAUGUUAUAUAAUUUAUUUAUCAGCCACGUUUCCGCGGCACCCCUGAGGGGGCCCUACGGCACCCCAGGGUGCCCCGGCACCCCUGUUGAGAAACACUGCACUAAAUUAUGAUAUUCCUAUGUGUGCGCGCGCACGCGCCAAGUUUUCAAUUCAACACACUGGGACACUUUUCAGUCUUUGAGGUUGCUGGAAUCAACACAGACUACCUCCAUGCACCUUAUCAGAACACUUUGCAUGUUUUUUGUAUACUUGUCCCCUUUGUGUAUUGCUGCUAAUCUUUCUCUUUCUAGGUUCUGUUGGUUGCAUGCAGAUUGUGCCAGAUGAUUUAUCUGUCUAUGGUCUAAGCAUGGGCUCUGUGCUAAUAUGCAAUUUGUGCUCUUUUUUCCCUCAGGUCAACAGCAGACAGGGUCCUUCCACAACCACAUACUUAUGCCAGUAAAAGCUACAGCUUUUCUCCUCCAAUCCAAGAAGCCUGGACUGCAGUCACCAUCUCAACACACCAACCAAGAGAAAGGCGGAUGGCUCAAUUCAAUAUGGAAAAUUGCACAAUAAAAGUUCCAGGACAUGAAGGCUGCAUACUGUGAACGUCAACCUUCAGGGCACCGUCCUGCGCAGAAGACUUUCUACCCUAAGAGGGAUGGCUGACCGCAGACACUCACAACCAGCACAGACGCCUCCAACCUCAGACUAGGCCCUUCACAGUUGCUGCACUUACCCACCUUCCCAGAGUUUUUGUGUGGUAAUGACAACUGUAAAUAUAGU